RNAcentral lists this small nuclear RNA (164 nucleotides) under Aotus nancymaae (Ma's night monkey). RNAcentral describes it as "U1 spliceosomal RNA (ENSANAG00000019997.1)". It matches the Rfam family "U1 spliceosomal RNA". Rfam says of the family: U1 is a small nuclear RNA (snRNA) component of the spliceosome (involved in pre-mRNA splicing). Its 5' end forms complementary base pairs with the 5' splice junction, thus defining the 5' donor site of an intron. There are significant differences in sequence and secondary structure between metazoan and yeast U1 snRNAs, the latter being much longer (568 nucleotides as compared to 164 nucleotides in human). The record is from Rfam by way of RNAcentral. Lineage: Eukaryota; Metazoa; Chordata; Mammalia; Primates; Aotidae.
CUACUUAACUGGCAGGGGAGAUAUCAUGAUCACAAAGGUGAUUUUCCCAGGGUGAGGCUUAUCCAUUGCACUCUGAAUGUGCUCACCCCUGUGAUUUCCCCAAAUGUGGGAAACUCGACGGCAUAAUUUGUGGUAGUGGGGGACUGCGUUUGUGCUUUCCCCUG